This 23-nucleotide microRNA is filed under the name Branchiostoma belcheri (Belcher's lancelet). Its description in RNAcentral is "bbe-miR-4899-5p". The record is from miRBase by way of RNAcentral. Lineage: Eukaryota; Metazoa; Chordata; Leptocardii; Amphioxiformes; Branchiostomatidae.
AACUCCCUCACAACGGGCCAGCU